CCGGUAAACGGCGGCCGUAACUAUAACGGUCCUAAGGUAGCGAAAUUCCUUGUCGGGUAAGUUCCGACCUGCACGAAUGGCGUAAUGAUGGCCAGGCUGUCUCCACCCGAGACUCAGUGAAAUUGAACUCGCUGUGAAGAUGCAGUGUACCCGCGGCAAGACGGAAAGACCCCGUGAACCUUUACUAUAGCUUGACACUGAACAUUGAGCCUUGAUGUGUAGGAUAGGUGGGAGGCUUUGAAGUGUGGACGCCAGUCUGCAUGGAGCCGACCUUGAAAUACCACCCUUUAAUGUUUGAUGUUCUAACGUUGGCCCCUGAUCGGGGUUGCGGACAGUGUCUGGUGGGUAGUUUGACUGGGGCGGUCUCCUCCUAAAGAGUAACGGAGGAGCACGAAGGUUGGCUAAUCCUGGUCGGACAUCAGGAGGUUAGUGCAAUGGCAUAAGCCAGCUUGACUGCGAGCGUGACGGCGCGAGCAGGUGCGAAAGCAGGUCAUAGUGAUCCGGUGGUUCUGAAUGGAAGGGCCAUCGCUCAACGGAUAAAAGGUACUCCGGGGAUAACAGGCUGAUACCGCCCAAGAGUUCAUAUCGACGGCGGUGUUUGGCACCUCGAUGUCGGCUCAUCACAUCCUGGGGCUGAAGUAGGUCCCAAGGGUAUGGCUGUUCGCCAUUUAAAGUGGUACGCGAGCUGGGUUUAGAACGUCGUGAGACAGUUCGGUCCCUAUCUGCCGUGGGCGCUGGAGAACUGAGGGGGGCUGCUCCUAGUACGAGAGGACCGGAGUGGACGCAUCACUGGUGUUCGGGUUGUCAUGCCAAUGGCACUGCCCGGUAGCUAAAUGCGGAAGAGAUAAGUGCUGAAAGCAUCUAAGCACGAAACUUGC
RNAcentral lists this ribosomal RNA (878 nucleotides) under Escherichia coli. Its description in RNAcentral is "partial 23S ribosomal RNA". It matches the Rfam family "Bacterial large subunit ribosomal RNA", at positions 1920 to 2797 of the family's 2925-position model. Lineage: Bacteria; Pseudomonadati; Pseudomonadota; Gammaproteobacteria; Enterobacterales; Enterobacteriaceae. The record is from RNAcentral.